CAGAAAAGUGUCCCAUGCACAGCCUUCAUGCUCAAGAAUGCAAAUGUUCUGCCAGUAUUUUCUGAUAACAUGCUGCAUCCAUCUUGCCAUGAAUUUUCACAAGAUUCCUCGUGCCUUUUCGCUAAAGGCCUUGUUGAUUCCUCUCCAAACAUAACGCUUAUGGUUGUGACCAUAAAGCUCUAUUUUGGUUUCGACACUCCAAAUUACAGUGUGCCAGAAGUUGUGAGGCUUCUCAAGGUGUUGUCGGGCAUAUUGUAACUAGGCUUUUUUGUGGCAUUGGCGCAGUAAAGGAUUCUUUCUGGCAACUCGAUCAUGCAGCUCAUUUCUGUUCAGGUAUCGUUGUAUUGUGCUCCUUGAAACAACCACACCAUUUUUUUCCAGAGCAGCCUGUAUUUUAU
Molecule: non-coding RNA, 398 nt
Organism: Pelobates cultripes (western spadefoot toad)
Lineage: Eukaryota; Metazoa; Chordata; Amphibia; Anura; Pelobatidae
Source: the annotation of a GenBank genome assembly